GAUGAACGCUAGCGGCAGGCCUAAUACAUGCAAGUCGAACGGUGUAGCAAUACACAGUGGCGCACGGGUGCGUAACACGUGUGCAACCUACCUAUCAUUGGGGGAUAGCCUUUGGAAACGGAGAUUAAUACCGCAUAAGACAGUAGCAUGGCAUCAUGCAGCUGUUAAAGCUUUGGCGAUGAUAGAUGGGCAUGCGUCCAAUUAGUUAGUUGGUGAGGUAACGGCUCACCAAGACGAUGAUUGGUAGGGGAUCUGAGAGGAUAAUCCCCCACACUGGCACUGGGAUACGGGCCAGACUCCUACGGGAGGCAGCAGUAGGGAAUAUUGGGCAAUGGACGGAAGUCUGACCCAGCCAUGCCGCGUGCAGGAAGAAGGCGUUAUGCGUUGUAAACUGCUUUUUUAUAGGAAGAAGGAGACCUUGCGAGGUUUGGUGACGGUACUAUAAGAAUAAGCACCGGCUAACUCCGUGCCAGCCGCCGCCGUAA
RNAcentral lists this ribosomal RNA (485 nucleotides) under uncultured bacterium. Its description in RNAcentral is "partial 16S ribosomal RNA". It matches the Rfam family "Bacterial small subunit ribosomal RNA", at positions 28 to 523 of the family's 1533-position model. The record is from RNAcentral.